AAUGGCUGAACCUGAGGAGACACCUGGUGGAGAAUGGAAGCAUUCUUCUCUCUGGGGGAGCACAAGAAAUGAACACUUAGCACAAACAUAUUAUUGUGACAAUUACAUCAGGAAACCUUGAAUGGAAACAUAAAUGGAGGAAAGAUUUACAGGUAAUUUUAUUUUUCUUCUUUGUGGCUUUUUAUCCUUUAUCACAGUAUACAAUGAUCAUUCUUAUUAUAACUUAUAAAAUUUUGCAUUUUUAUAAUUGUUUGAAAUAUGCUGUUCUGUCAGACUGAAAGUUUCAUUAACAGAUGGUUCCGACUAUUGUGUUUAUUACAAUAUCCACAGUCCCUAGGAUAAGAUCUAGCAAAUGCGUGGUAAAUAUUUCUUAUUCGAUUAAUUGAUAAAUGAUGACUGAAUGAAGAGUAAAUGAAUAAAAAAUAAACCAUAACCUCUGUUUCCAUUCCCACAUGUAGGGAGGUUGACAGCCACCAAUCUGUCCAAACAGGUAAAAAGUUAAACAAAUUGAAAAAUCAAUCCACUCUCCUUAGAUUAAUAAGGACGGACCCAGGUCAAACCUGUGUGUCUUACCUCCAGGACUUUGACCAGGUUCUCACGGUAAAUAUGGAAGAAAAAUCUCCCCUAGCUUCUAGCAGGGAAAGAGAAAAGGAGAUCACUUAGAAAUAUUCCAGAACACUUUGUUCUUCUUAACAAGGUCUAUUCUCAGCAGAAACUAGUUAACCAGAGCCUAACUUAUGGGGAUUUUAUUAGAGCUGAUCUAACCUGCGGUAGUGAAAUACCCAACUCCAGUCCACUCUAGCCUUCCAUGUGCGAAAAAAAAAUGACCAAAUCCCGGCCCACUGUAGCCAUGCUGUUCUACCUAAGAGACAGGGGAGAAAAAGCACUGAGAAACAGUUAUGAAACUCACAGUUCAGAGGCAUAGGCUCAUUAAAAGACUGAGACUUAAUCAUAGCACUAUAGAAUGCUCUGACCACCUCAUUACUAACAGACUAUUUACAGCAAUAUCUCCUAAUUAGUACGUCCUGUUCAGUUAACAAGAAAAAUUUACAACACAUACUAAAAGGAAAACAUACAGUUUGAAGAGACAGAGCAUACAUCAGGAUGAGGCAUGUCAGGGGUGUUGGAAAUAUUAUA
This 1137-nucleotide long non-coding RNA is filed under the name Papio anubis (olive baboon). RNAcentral's name for it is "lncRNA (ENSPANG00000049070.1)". Lineage: Eukaryota; Metazoa; Chordata; Mammalia; Primates; Cercopithecidae. The record is from RNAcentral.